UACAGAGGUCUCAAGCGUUGUUCGGAUUCAUUGGGCGUAAAGGGUGCGUAGGUGGCGCCAUAAGUCAGGUGUGAAAUCUCCGGGCUUAACUCGGAACGGCCAAGUGAAACUGUCAAGCUAGAGUGCGGAAGGGGCAAUCGGAAUUCUUGGUGUAGCGGUGAAAUGCGUAGAUAUCAAGAGGAACACCUGAGGUGAAGACGGGUUGCUGGGCCGACACUGACGCUGAUGCGCGAAAGCCAGGGGAGCAAACGGG
This 253-nucleotide ribosomal RNA is filed under the name uncultured bacterium. RNAcentral describes it as "partial 16S ribosomal RNA". It matches the Rfam family "Bacterial small subunit ribosomal RNA", at positions 524 to 776 of the family's 1533-position model. The record is from RNAcentral.